RNAcentral lists this ribosomal RNA (498 nucleotides) under uncultured bacterium. RNAcentral's name for it is "partial 16S ribosomal RNA". It matches the Rfam family "Bacterial small subunit ribosomal RNA", at positions 29 to 523 of the family's 1533-position model. The record is from RNAcentral.
AUUGAACGCUGGCGGCAUGCCUUACACAUGCAAGUCGAACGGUAACGCGGGGCAACCUGGCGACGAGUGGCGAACGGGUGAGUAAUGCAUCGGAACGUGCCCAGUAGUGGGGGAUAGCCCGGCGAAAGCCGGAUUAAUACCGCAUACGACCUACGGGUGAAAGGGGGGGAUCGCAAGACCUCUCGCUAUUGGAGCGGCCGAUGGCAGAUUAGGUAGUUGGUGGGGUAAAGGCCUACCAAGCCGACGAUCUGUAGCUGGUCUGAGAGGACGACCAGCCACACUGGGACUGAGACACGGCCCAGACUCCUACGGGAGGCAGCAGUGGGGAAUUUUGGACAAUGGGCGCAAGCCUGAUCCAGCCAUGCCGCGUGCGGGAAGAAGGCCUUCGGGUUGUAAACCGCUUUUGUCAGGGAAGAAAUCUUCUGGGUUAAUACCUCGGGAGGAUGACGGUACCUGAAGAAUAAGCACCGGCUAACUACGUGCCAGCAGCCGCGGUAA